GACGAACGCUGGCGGCGUGCUUAACACAUGCCAGUCGAACGGAAAGGCCCUGCUUUUGUGGGGUGCUCGAGUGGCGAACGGGUGAGUAACACGUGAGUAACCUGCCCUUGACUUUGGGAUAACUUCAGGAAACUGGGGCUAAUACCGGAUAGGAGCUCCUGCUGCAUGGUGGGGGUUGGAAAGUUUCGGCGGUUGGGGAUGGACUCGCGGCUUAUCAGCUUGUUGGUGGGGUAGUGGCUUACCAAGGCUUUGAAGGGUAGCCGGCCUGAGAGGGUGACCGGCCACAUUGGGACGGAGAUGCGGCCCAGACUCGUACGGGAGGCAGCAGUGGGGAAUAGUGCACAAUGGGCGGAAGCCUGAUGCAGCAACGCCGCGUGCGGGAUGACGGCCUUCGGGUUGUAAACCGCUUUCGCCUGUGACGAAGCGUGAGUGACGGUAAUGGGUAAAGAAGCACCGGCUAACUACGUG
This 468-nucleotide ribosomal RNA is filed under the name uncultured bacterium. RNAcentral's name for it is "partial 16S ribosomal RNA". It matches the Rfam family "Bacterial small subunit ribosomal RNA", at positions 28 to 507 of the family's 1533-position model. The record is from RNAcentral.